This 400-nucleotide ribosomal RNA is filed under the name uncultured bacterium. Its description in RNAcentral is "bacterial SSU rRNA". It matches the Rfam family "Bacterial small subunit ribosomal RNA", at positions 30 to 432 of the family's 1533-position model. The record is from RNAcentral.
AUUGAACGCUGGCGGCAGGCCUAACACAUGCAAGUCGAGCGGUAGAGAGGUGCUUGCAUCUCUUGAGAGCGGCGGACGGGUGAGUAAUGCCUAGGAAUCUGCCUAGUGGUGGGGGAUAACGUUCGGAAACGGACGCUAAUACCGCAUACGUCCUACGGGAGAAAGCGGGGGAUCUUCGGACCUCGCGCCAUUAGAUGAGCCUAGGUCGGAUUAGCUAGUUGGUGAGGUAAUGGCUCACCAAGGCGACGAUCCGUAACUGGUCUGAGAGGAUGAUCAGUCACACUGGAACUGAGACACGGUCCAGACUCCUACGGAGGCAGCAGUGGGGAAUAUUGGACAAUGGGCGAAAGCCUGAUCCAGCAAUGCCGCGUGCAGGAUGAAGGCCUCGGUUGUAACGUAG